GGAUGGAUGGAUGGAGGGAUAGAUGGAUGGACAGACAGGUGAAUAGAUGGAUGGAUGGACGGAUGGAUAGAUGGAUGGACAGACAGGUGAGUAGAUGGAUGGAUGGAUGGAUGGACAGACAGGUGAAUAGAUCGAUGGAUGGAUGGAUUUAUAGAUGGAUGGACAGACAGGUGGAUAGAUGGAUGGAUGGAUGGAUAGAUGGAUGGACAGACAGGUGAAUAGAUGGAUGGAUGGAUAGAUAGAUGGAUGGACAGACAGGUGAAUAGAUGGAUGGAUGGAUGGACAGACAGGUGAACAGAUGGAUGGAUGGAUGGACAGACAGGUGAACAGAUGGAUGGAUGGAUGGACGGACAGGUGAAUAGAUG
This is a long non-coding RNA of Ictalurus punctatus (channel catfish), 365 nucleotides long. NCBI's taxonomy places the organism in Eukaryota, Metazoa, Chordata, Actinopteri, Siluriformes, Ictaluridae. The record is from Ensembl.